AGUGAACGCUGGCGGUAGGCCUAACACAUACAAGUCGAACGGCAGCACAGUAAGAGCUUGCUCUUACGGGUGGCGAGUGGCGGACGGGUGAGGAAUACAUCGGAAUCUACUUUUUCGUGGGGGAUAACGUAGGGAAACUUACGCUAAUACCUCAUACGACCUACGGGUGAAAGCAGGGGAUCUUCGGACCUUGCGCGAUUGAAUGAGCCGAUGUCGGAUUAGCUAGUUGGCGGGGUAAAGGCCCACCAAGGCGACGAUCCGUAGCUGGUCUGAGAGGAUGAUCAGCCACACUGGAACUGAGACACGGUCCAGACUCCUACGGGAGGCAGCAGUGGGGAAUAUUGGACAAUGGGCGCAAGCCUGAUCCAGCCAUACCGCGUGGGUGAAGAAGGCCUUCGGGUUGUAAAGCCCUUUUGUUGGGAAAGAAAAGCAGCAGGUUAAUACCCCGCUGUUCUGACGGUACCCAAAGAAUAAGCACCGGCUAACUUCGUG
Molecule: ribosomal RNA, 492 nt
Filed under: uncultured bacterium
Lineage: Bacteria
Description: partial 16S ribosomal RNA
Rfam family: Bacterial small subunit ribosomal RNA
Source: RNAcentral